Molecule: long non-coding RNA, 449 nt
Organism: Astyanax mexicanus (Mexican tetra)
Lineage: Eukaryota; Metazoa; Chordata; Actinopteri; Characiformes; Acestrorhamphidae
Exons: 6
Source: RefSeq, a predicted model, not a curated record
UUUCCUGUGAUUGCUUAAAGAGUGUGGUAUAAAAUGUUUUGUAGAAUGUAUUGUAUGAAGAGUGAGGUGUAGAAUGUACUGUAUGAAGAGUGUGGUGUAGAAUGUACUGUAUGAAGAGUGUGGUGUAGAAUGUACUGUAUGAAGAGUGAGGUGUAGAAUGUACUGUAUGAAGAGUGAGGUGUAGAAUGUACUGUAUGAAGAGUGAGGUGUAGAAUGUACUGUAUGAAGAGUGUGGUGUAGAAUGUACUGUAUGAAGAGUGAGGUGUAGAAUGUAUUGUAUGAAGAGUGAGGUGUAGAAUGUAUUGUAUGAAGAGUGAGGUGUAGAAUGUAUUGUAUGAAGAGUGAGGUGUAGAAUGUAUUGUAUGAAGAGUGAGGUGUAGAAUGUAUUGUAUGAAGAGUGUGGUGUAGAAUGUACUGUAUGAAGAGUGAGGUGUAGAAUGUAAUGUGCA